This 460-nucleotide ribosomal RNA is filed under the name uncultured bacterium. RNAcentral's name for it is "partial 16S ribosomal RNA". It matches the Rfam family "Bacterial small subunit ribosomal RNA", at positions 338 to 795 of the family's 1533-position model. The record is from RNAcentral.
CCUACGGGCGGCAGCAGUGAGGAAUAUUGGUCAAUGGACGAGAGUCUGAACCAGCCAAGUAGCGUGAAGGAUGACUGCCCUAUGGGUUGUAAACUUCUUUUAUAUGGGAAUAAAAUGUUCCACGUGUGGGAUUUUGUAUGUACCAUAUGAAUAAGGAUCGGCUAACUCCGUGCCAGCAGCCGCGGUAAUACGGAGGAUCCGAGCGUUAUCCGGAUUUAUUGGGUUUAAAGGGAGCGUAGGUGGAGUGUUAAGUCAGUUGUGAAAGUUUGCGGCUCAACCGUAAAAUUGCAGUUGAAACUGGCAGUCUUGAGUACAGUAGAGGUGGGCGGAAUUCGUGGUGUAGCGGUGAAAUGCUUAGAUAUCACGAAGAACUCCGAUUGCGAAGGCAGUUCACUGGACUGCAACUGACACUGAGGCUCGAAAGUGUGGGUAUCAAACAGGAUUAGAUACCCUAGUAGUC